UACGGGGGGGGCAAGCGUUGUUCGGAAUUACUGGGCGUAAAGGGCUCGUAGGCGGCCAACUAAGUCAUACGUGAAAUCCCUCGGCUUAACCGGGGAACUGCGUCUGAUACUGGAUGGCUUGAGAUUGGGAGAGGGAUGCGGAAUUCCAGGUGUAGCGGUGAAAUGCGUAGAUAUCUGGAGGAACACCGGUGGCGAAGGCGGGUUGCUGGGCCGACACUGACGCUGAGGCGCGAAAGCUAGGGGAGCGAACGGG
RNAcentral lists this ribosomal RNA (253 nucleotides) under uncultured bacterium. Its description in RNAcentral is "partial 16S ribosomal RNA". It matches the Rfam family "Bacterial small subunit ribosomal RNA", at positions 524 to 776 of the family's 1533-position model. The record is from RNAcentral.